Molecule: long non-coding RNA, 721 nt
Organism: Zingiber officinale
Lineage: Eukaryota; Viridiplantae; Streptophyta; Magnoliopsida; Zingiberales; Zingiberaceae
Exons: 3
Source: RefSeq, a predicted model, not a curated record
CAAGAGACAGAUCACCCUCUUUGCUUUUCCCUCACAUGAGACAUAGGAACUGGGAAGUCUCCAAGUAGAAAAUUUCCCAUUGGCAUUUAGAUGCAAAUCUCCCACGUCCCAUGCUCAUGUUCCCCACCUCUUGAAGCCAAAGCAUCGUCACAGCUGAAGACAUCUCCUGUGCACCUCUUCCUAAUCUGAGUCCGUCUCAUCUAGUACCAGACACAAAAGGCAGGCAUAUGGCUUGGAGCACGACAUGACCAAUAUUCAUGCUCACUUUAGAAGCCACUUCGAUGAUGUUAGAAAGAGAGAAGAAAAUAAUCUGAAGGAAUAUGUACUAUAAAAAAGAAAAGACAGCCCGGUGCACGAAACUCCCGCCAUGCGGGGUCCCAGGGAAAAAUCCAUUGUAAUGAGGAAACGGAAGGACUUGAUGGAUGAGCUUUCUUGUACUGACAGCGCAUACCCGAGGGCCUCUUUUAUUUGUCUAAGUUUCUACAUGCGUUAGGAUGUUGGGUCCUCCCGUCGGAGUCGAGUCAUGUGAUUGAUAGUCGGUUUAAGUUCCUUUCACUAGUUGGUUGCACUUUCUGCUCUCAUAAGAAUCUAUUUACUAUUAUGAUAUCAAAAACAAAUUGUUUUCUUUUUGGUUUCAUGUUGGACUAGUUCGUAAUGCAUAAUCUUUGAAGUUGGUUGUUUAAUUCAGAUCUCUUUAAUGUUGGUAAUGCAUGUUUGGUGA